Molecule: transfer RNA, 74 nt
Filed under: Alcanivorax sp.
Lineage: Bacteria; Pseudomonadati; Pseudomonadota; Gammaproteobacteria; Oceanospirillales; Alcanivoracaceae
Description: tRNA-Arg
Rfam family: tRNA
About the family: Transfer RNA (tRNA) molecules are approximately 80 nucleotides in length. Their secondary structure includes four short double-helical elements and three loops (D, anti-codon, and T loops).
Source: RNAcentral
CCGGUAGCUCAGUUGGAUAGAGCAAGCGCCUCCUAAGCGCUAGGUCGCAGGUUCGACUCCUGCUCGGGGCGCCA